Molecule: ribosomal RNA, 445 nt
Filed under: uncultured bacterium
Lineage: Bacteria
Description: partial 16S ribosomal RNA
Rfam family: Bacterial small subunit ribosomal RNA
Source: RNAcentral
GUGAGGAAUAUUGGUCAAUGGGCGAGAGCCUGAACCAGCCAAGUCGCGUGAAGGAUGAAGGUUUUAUGAAUUGUAAACUUCUUUUGCAGGGGAAUAAAGUACGGUACGUGUACCGUUUUGUAUGUACUCUGCGAAUAAGGAUCGGCUAACUCCGUGCCAGCAGCCGCGGUAAUACGGAGGAUCCAAGCGUUAUCCGGAUUUAUUGGGUUUAAAGGGUGCGCAGGCGGGUUGAUAAGUCAGCGGUGAAAGUUUGCAGCUUAACUGUAAAAUUGCCGUUGAAACUGUCGAUCUUGAGUGAAAAGGAGGUAAGCGGAAUGUGUUGUGUAGCGGUGAAAUGCUUAGAUAUAACACAGAACACCGAUUGCGAAGGCAGCUUACUGGGAUGCAACUGACGCUCAUGCACGAAAGCGUGGGGAUCAAACAGGAUUAGAUACCCUGGUAGUCC